This is a long non-coding RNA of Mus musculus (house mouse), 1206 nucleotides long. RefSeq annotates it as predicted gene, 39666. The record is from RefSeq and is a predicted model, not a curated record. Lineage: Eukaryota; Metazoa; Chordata; Mammalia; Rodentia; Muridae. The transcript has 3 exons.
CUCAGCUGACCACACCAACACUGAUGGACUGAAUACUUGCUCAGCCAUGUUCACCACUGCUCUGCUCACAGCAGCUAUGAAGUGAAGUCCAUGGCCUUCAUGCAAUGAAUGGACAGUAAAGAUGUGCUACAUACACACUAUGCCCUUUAUGGAUACCUCUCAGCUGGAAGAAGAUGAGCUCAUGGACAGGUCACCACUGAUGGGUCCUGGAAGGGAAUGUUUGGUGCCCUGUUGACGCAUGGAGCCACUGUAGUUCUUCAGACUCCUUCCAUAUGAAGCUCAGAAGUCACUCAGUUCUUCAUUUUCAGAAAAAAACAAAACAAAAACAGCUACAAUAUCAAAAAGCCCAAAGUGACAGGCAUAAGGGAUACUCCUUGAAUUCUAUUGUAAAGUUCUGGAUGAUUGGAAUUUUUUUCCAGGUCACCUGUCAUUAUUUACUUCAUGGGACAAACACUUGAUAGGCCAGUAAGACAUCAGAGCAUCUAGCAUAUCUGGGUCAGUGUCUGUUCUCAUUUUCCGGUGUCCCAGGCAAAAUUGAAAGUACCCAUCUCAUUAAGUGACAGAGAGUUAUUUCACUGGUAGUUGGCUCCAUUUUCCCCUAGGUCUACCAUUUUGUUACUUUAAGAAAAUUGCAGCUGGCUUCUUGCUCAGACUCAGUGUGGCAUCUAAUCUAUGGUAAAUCAUUCGCUCAACCAUGUCUACAGAGUAAAAGUAGUCUCUCGCAGGCCUGUAAUUUUCCUAGCAGUCUCCGUAUCUUAAAUGGAUCCCAGUUUCCCUCCAAGGAAAAGAGCUUUCAGAAAAUUGAUAUUUUUGAAGACUAGGCCUGCAGACUCAUUGGCUUAAAUAUGUCACAAGGGAAAAGGCUACACAUUUAAAAAGAUGAGAGUAACAUUUCUCCUCUGGGUCCAGGGAUUGUUAAUAGAUUUGAUUCUAGAAGUCAGCUAGGAGCUCUGUGUGUGUGUGUUGUAUAGAGGGACAGUAGAGCUGGAGGAGUUGGGAGACUAAAGAAGAGGACAGCCUGGUAGCCUGACAGCAUGGCUUUCCAAGUCCUGAGCAUCACUGCAUUUUGAAACAUUACCAGACACUUCAGAAUUUAAUAUAACCAAUGAAGUAUGGCCAAUGUACUCUUGGAGAGCAGCCCAUCUCUAUACAACACACUAAGACCAUUCCAGCAUCUCUAUACAAUAUACUAGGCCCAUUCCAGCA